Molecule: ribosomal RNA, 413 nt
Filed under: uncultured Acidobacterium sp.
Lineage: Bacteria; Pseudomonadati; Acidobacteriota; Terriglobia; Terriglobales; Acidobacteriaceae
Description: bacterial SSU rRNA
Rfam family: Bacterial small subunit ribosomal RNA
Source: RNAcentral
UAAUGGCUCAUCAAGGCGACGAUCGAUAGCUGUUGUGAGAGGAAGAUCAGCCACACUGGGAGUGAGACACGGCCCAGACUCCUACGGGAGGCAGCAGUUGGGAAUCUUGGACAAUGGGGGAAACCCUGAUCCAGCCAUCCCGCGUGAGUGAUGAAGGCCUUCGGGUUGUAAAACUCUUUCGCGCACGACGAUAAUGACGGUAGUGCGAGAAGAAGCUCCGGCUAACUUCGUGCCAGCAGCCGCGGUAAUACGAAGGGGGCUAGCGUUGUUCGGAAUUACUGGGCGUAAAGCGCGGGCAGGCGGCUAUCCAAGUCAGUGGUGAAAGCCCGGAGCUCAACUCCGGAACUGCCAUUGAAACUGUUUAGCUUGAGGACGAGAGAGGUGAGUGGAAUUCCCAGUGUAGAGGUGAAAUU